Molecule: ribosomal RNA, 982 nt
Filed under: uncultured bacterium
Lineage: Bacteria
Description: partial 16S ribosomal RNA
Rfam family: Bacterial small subunit ribosomal RNA
Source: RNAcentral
AGAGUUUGAUCAUGGCUCAGGACGAACGCUGGCGGCGUGCCUAACACAUGCAAGUCGAGCGGUCCAGCACUCAAGCUUGCUUGAGUGCUGGGUAGCGGCGAACGGGUGAGUAACGCGUGGGUGACCUGCCCGGGAGACUGGGAUAACAGUUCGAAAGGGCUGCUAAUACCGGAUGAUCCCCAGCACUCAACCGAAGGAAUUAGGCUUGGUUUAGAAGAAGCCUUUCUGUAGGUUUAAUGAGGUUUUUUUCUAGGGUACAGCCUGGUUUUUUGGGUUGAGUGCUGGGGCAAAGCGUUUAGCGCUCCUGGAUGGGCCCGCGUCCCAUUAGCUAGUUGGUGGGGUAAUGGCCUACCAAGGCGGCGAUGGGUAGCCGGUCUGAGAGGAUGGUCGGCCACACUGGGACUGAGACACGGCCCAGACUCCUACGGGAGGCAGCAGUGGGGAAUUUUGCGCAAUGGGGGCAACCCUGACGCAGCGACGCCGCGUGGGUGAUGAAGGCCUUCGGGUUGUAAAGCCCUGUUGGGGGGGAAGAUAAUGACGGUACCCCCUGAGGAAGCCCCGGCUAACUACGUGCCAGCAGCCGCGGUAAGACGUAGGGGGCGAGCGUUGUCCGGAAUUACUGGGCGUAAAGGGCGUGUAGGCGGCCUUUCAAGUCGGCUGUGAAAUACCCCGGCUCAACCGGGGGGGUGCAGUCGAAACUGGGGGGCUUGAGUGCAGGAGAGGGGGGUGGAAUUCCCGGUGGAGCGGUGAUAUGCGUAGAUAUCGGGAGGAACACCGGUGGCGAAGGCGACCUUCUGGCCUGUUACUGACGCUGAGGCGCGAAAGCCGGGGGAGCAAACAGGAUUAGAUACCCUGGUAGUCCCGGCCGUAAACGCUGGGUACUAUGUGUAGGGGGCUUUGAUGCCUUCUGUGCCGUAGUUAACGCAUUAAGUACCCCGCCUGGGGAGUACGAUCGCAAGUUGAAACUCAAAUGAAUUGACGG